AAUGAGGCAGCCAAGAGAAAAGAUUAAACCCAUAGAUGAAGCUGAUGUGCCCAUGGCAUCGUCCUCCCUCAAAGAUGAUGAUGCAUUACAAUGAGGGAGCCAAGAGACAAGUUUAAACCCAAAGAUGAAGCUGAUGCGCCCAUGGCAUCGUCCUCCCUCAAAGAUGAUGAGCAGGGCACACCGAUCUUCCUCAUGUUGAUACGCCCAUGGCAUCGUCCUCCCUCAAAGAUGAUGAGCAGGGCACACCGAUCUUCCUCAUGUUGAUACGCCCAUGGCAUCGUCCUCCCUCAAAGAUGAUGAGCAGGGCACACCGAUCUUCCUCAUGUUGAUAUGCCCAUGGCAUCGUCCUCCCUCAAAGAUGAUGAGCAGGGCACACCGAUCUUCCUCAUGUUGAUAUGCCCAUGGCAUCGUCCUCCCUCAAAGAUGAUGAGCAGGGCACACCGAUCUUCCUCAUGUUGAUACGCC
Molecule: long non-coding RNA, 465 nt
Organism: Oreochromis aureus
Lineage: Eukaryota; Metazoa; Chordata; Actinopteri; Cichliformes; Cichlidae
Exons: 7
Source: RefSeq, a predicted model, not a curated record